RNAcentral lists this unclassified non-coding RNA (215 nucleotides) under uncultured Gerronema. Its description in RNAcentral is "sequence contains ITS2". The record is from RNAcentral. Lineage: Eukaryota; Fungi; Basidiomycota; Agaricomycetes; Agaricales; Tricholomataceae.
AAUUCUCAAAAACCUAACCGUUUGUUUUCGAACGGGCUAGGCUUUUUGGAUGUGAGGGGUCUAUGCCGGCUUGUUUAUUGAGUCUGGCUCCCUUUAAAUGCAUUAGUGGUUGCUUCAUUCACUAGAGUGUGAUAGCAUAUCUACGCUCGCUACAGUGGACUGAUAAAUCAUCCGCUUCUAACUGUCUUGCUUCGUCGAGACAACUCUUUUGAACC